Molecule: ribosomal RNA, 487 nt
Filed under: uncultured bacterium
Lineage: Bacteria
Description: partial 16S ribosomal RNA
Rfam family: Bacterial small subunit ribosomal RNA
Source: RNAcentral
GACGAACGCUGGCGGCGUGCUUAACACAUGCAAGUCGAACGGUGCAGGUGGGAGCUUGCUCCUGCUGGAUCAGUGGCGAACGGGUGAGUAACACGUGAGUAACCUGCCCUUGACUCUCGGAUAAGCGUUGGAAACGACGUCUAAUACCGGAUACGAGCUUCAGCCGCAUGGAUAGGCGUUGGAAAGAUUUUUCUGUUAAGGAUGGACUCGCGGCCGAUCAGCUUGUUGGUGAGGUAGUGGCUCACGAAGGCGAAGACGGGUAGCCGGCCUGAGAUGGAGAGCGGCCACACUGGGACUGAGAGACGGCCCAGAGUGCUACGGGAGGCAGGGGUGGGGAAUGGUGCACGAAGCGCGCCAGGCUAGAGGAGCGACGCCGCGUGGGGGACGACUGCCGUCGGGUUGUAAACCUCUUUAGGCAGGGAAGAAGUGCAAGUGACGGUACCUGCAGAAAAAGCACCGGCUAACUACGUGCCAGCGGCGGCCUCGG